CCUACGGGAGGCUGCAGUGGGGAAUAUUGGACAAUGGGGGCAACCCUGAUCCAGCCAUGCCGCGUGUGUGAAGAAGGCCCUCGGGUUGUAAAGCACUUUCAGUGAGGAAGAACGCCUGGUGGUUAAUACCCAUCAGGAAAGACAUCACUCACAGAAGAAGCACCGGCUAACUCCGUGCCAGCAGCCGCGGUAAUACGGAGGGUGCGAGCGUUAAUCGGAAUUACUGGGCGUAAAGCGCGCGUAGGUGGCUUGAUAAGCCGGUUGUGAAAGCCCCGGGCUCAACCUGGGAACGGCAUCCGGAACUGUCAAGCUAGGGUGCAGGAGAGGAAGGUAGAAUUCCCGGUGUAGCGGUGAAAUGCGUAGAGAUCGGGAGGAAUACCAGUGGCGAAGGCGGCCUUCUGGACUGACACUGACACUGAGGUGCGAAAGCGUGGGUAGCAAACAGGAUUAGAUACCCUGGUAGUC
This 465-nucleotide ribosomal RNA is filed under the name Vreelandella stevensii. Its description in RNAcentral is "partial 16S ribosomal RNA". It matches the Rfam family "Bacterial small subunit ribosomal RNA", at positions 338 to 795 of the family's 1533-position model. Lineage: Bacteria; Pseudomonadati; Pseudomonadota; Gammaproteobacteria; Oceanospirillales; Halomonadaceae. The record is from RNAcentral.